RNAcentral lists this ribosomal RNA (526 nucleotides) under uncultured bacterium. RNAcentral describes it as "partial 16S ribosomal RNA". The record is from RNAcentral.
ACAGUUACCUUGUUACGACUUCACCCCAGUUAUCGGUCCCACCUUCGACGAGCUCCCUCCGAUUGGUUGGGUCACCGGCUUCGGGCGUUACUGACUCCCAUGGUGUGACGGGCGGUGUGUACAAGACCCGGGAACGUAUUCACCGCGACAUUCUGAUUCGCGAUUACUAGCGAUUCCAGCUUCAUGUAGUCGAGUUGCAGACUACAAUCCGAACUGAGACGUUAUUUUUGGGAUUUGCUCACAUUCACAUGCUUGCUUCCCUUUGUUUACGCCAUUGUAGCACGUGUGUAGCCCUGGUCAUAAGGGGCAUGAUGAUUUGACGUCAUCCCCACCUUCCUCCAAGUUGUCCCUGGCAGUCUCUCUAGAGUGCCCAUCCAAAAUGCUGGCUACUAAAGAUAGGGGUUGCGCUCGUUGCGGGACUUAACCCAACAUCUCACGACACGAGCUGACGACAACCAUGCACCACCUGUCUCCAGUGCUCCGAAGAGAAAGGACGGUUAAGUCCCGGUCACCGGGAUGUCAAGAU